Molecule: long non-coding RNA, 1843 nt
Filed under: Haliotis rubra (blacklip abalone)
Lineage: Eukaryota; Metazoa; Mollusca; Gastropoda; Lepetellida; Haliotidae
Description: uncharacterized LOC124282810
Source: RNAcentral
GAUCAUGAGAGAUAAUUGGAUCAUGGGGAGGUGUAUGGAUCCUAGGAAGGUAAUUGGAUCAUGGGAAGGUAAUGGAUCAUGGGAAGGUUAUGGAUCAUGGGAAGAUGUGUGGAUCCUAGGAAGGUAAUUAGCUCAUGGGAGUGUGUAUGGAUCAUGAGAGAUAAUUGGAUCAUGGGAAGGUGUGUAUGGAUCAUAGGAAGGUAAUUGGAUCAUAGGAGUGUGUAUGGAUCCUAGGAAGGUAAUUGGAUCAUGGGAGUGUGUAUUGAUCAUAAGAAGAUAAUUGGAUCAUGGGGAGGUAAUUGGAUCAUGGGAAGGUGUAUGGAUCCUAGGAAGGUAAUUGGAUCAUGGGAGUGUGUAUGGAUCAUUUGAAGAUAAUUGGAUCAUGGGAAGGUAAUUGGAUCAUGGGAAGGUAAUGGAUCAUGGGAAGGUGUGUGGAUCGUGGGAAGAUAAUUGGAUCAGGGGAAGGUAAUGGAUCAUGGGAAGGUGUGUGGAUCCUAGGAAGGUAAUUGGAUCAUGGUAUGCAAUAUGGAUCUUAGGAAGGUAUAAGGAUCAUGGGAAGGAACGUCUUAACAGUUGUGUUUUGCAAUUCUCUUAGUUACCCCACUCUUCCCCAAGCCUUAUAUUCUUGAUUGCUCAAUGUUUAUGUACGUUGCAGUUUCAGUGCCAUCGUAAUGUUUUCUUUGCUUCGUCUCGUGUGCACUAUAAUCCAAUACAUGCUGUAUUCGACACAUUAAAAACAUUAGACGUCCAUAUACAUAAACUAGGGUUGUCUUAACUUGGUAGAGCAUCGGAGUAAUUUAGUGUGAGGCUGUGUCAGGUAAAAUACUUUUGUUGUUCAACUCUCAGGAGUAAUUUCACCUGUUAGCAUUUUUUCUUCAAAACACAUAUCUCCAAGUCUUUUGUCUCUGAUUAGUACAAGAAAAAUGCUAAUAGGUACCUAGCAGCAAAUAAUUUCUUGCUUUUUUAUAUGCUAAAAGGUUACUUAAAUUGUAUUCUUUGCCUCCUUAUGAUCAUUUUAUUGGUCUGGCAUAAAAAAUUCAUACAAGAUGCAUACAGUAUUGAAUUAUAGAGAACACAUGACAUUUUGUAUACCAGAUGCAAAUUGUUUACACAACCAUGUGUUUAUGUGUCAAAUGCAGGCGUUAUAUCUACUGGUGUUGAUCAAAGAUAUGUUUUCCAGAUUAUGGAAAAAGAAUUAGCUUUAAAUAUAGUAUACAUAUCUUGUUGGCAGAUUUUCAAGUAAACACUGUUUCACAAAGUAUUGAUAUAUGUACAUAUGUGAUUGGGUACUCAAGUUGAAUUCAGUAGAUAUGGGAGGUUGCAUCUUUAACAUAAUUUUGAAAUAUGUAUUUUUGUUAAUAUUGUUGAUAACUUGGUAACAGAAAUGAGCUAUUUACAAAAAAUAUUAGAAAUAAGGUCUUUGUCUCCAUAUUCCACGUAGAUAUGAAAUCCAGCGGAAUAUGGUAAGAAACAUGAGCAUGGUAGAAGGUGUACCUUUACUAAGAAAGGUCAGUAGCUGGUGUUUGCUUUAUUGUAUAACACCGUCUAUAGACUCUGUGCUCAGAUUCCUAUCACUGAACUUCUGUGUUGAUCCAGCUGCAGAUAAAGAUGUAUCAACUUCAAGUCUGCUGAUCUUACAUUGGGUACUGUAGAAGUAUUUGGCAACUCUCCUCAGGAAGUUCAGUGUGGUUUAGUCUCAACACUGCAUGUGGUGGGCAUUAAACAAGGCUAGUUCUCGACAGUCUACUCACUGAUCUAAGAGUGAAAUGUCAUCAACAGGAUAUAUAGAGGAUACUAAACGACCUGUGUAAUACCAAUCUUAUUAAACGAGUUAAUGAUUUGG